This 538-nucleotide ribosomal RNA is filed under the name uncultured archaeon. RNAcentral's name for it is "bacterial SSU rRNA". It matches the Rfam family "Archaeal small subunit ribosomal RNA", at positions 457 to 997 of the family's 1478-position model. The record is from RNAcentral.
GGCAGCCGCCGCGGUAACACCGGCAGCUCUAGUGGUAGCAAUUUUAUGGGCCUAAAGCGUCCGUAGCCGGUUUAAUAAGUCUCUGGUGAAAUCCUGCAGCUUAACUGUGGGAAUUGCUGGAGAUACUAUUAGACUUGAGACCGGGAGAGGUUAGAGGUACUCCAGGGUAGAGGUGAAAUUCUGUAAUCCUGGGAGGACCGCCUGUUGCGAAGGCGUCUAACUGGAACGGUUCUGACGGUGAGGGACGAAAGUUAGGGGCGCGAACCGGAUUAGAUACCCGGGUAGUCCUAACUGUAAACGAUGCGGACUUGGUGUUGGGGUGGCUUUGAGCUGCUUCAGUGCCGAAGGGAAGCUGUUAAGUCCGCCGCCUGGGAAGUACGGUCGCAAGACUGAAACUUAAGGAAUUGGCGGGGGAGCACCACAACGCGUGGAGCCUGCCGGUUUAAUUGGAUUCAACGCCGGACAUCUCACCAGAGGCGACAGCUGUAUGAUAGCCAGGUUGAUGACUUUGCUUGACUAGCUGAGGAGUGGUGCAUGG